ACAACAUUCGAACCGUCGGUCUACCGGGUCAUUUCACUGAAUCGGUGGAAGAUCUUCCCUUUGCCAU
Molecule: microRNA precursor, 67 nt
Filed under: Bombyx mori (domestic silkworm)
Lineage: Eukaryota; Metazoa; Arthropoda; Insecta; Lepidoptera; Bombycidae
Description: mir-2774 microRNA precursor family
Rfam family: mir-2774 microRNA precursor family
Source: Rfam by way of RNAcentral